This 237-nucleotide ribosomal RNA is filed under the name uncultured marine eukaryote. RNAcentral's name for it is "partial 18S ribosomal RNA". It matches the Rfam family "Eukaryotic small subunit ribosomal RNA", at positions 623 to 860 of the family's 1831-position model. The record is from RNAcentral.
AAAGCUCGUAGUUGGAUUUCUGUGGGGACGGAGCGGCCGGCCGCAACUCGCGGUUCGAGCUAGCGCUUUCCCUACAUCCUGCCGCGAACCGUGCUACCAUUAGUUUGGUGGCGCCGGGGAUCGGCUCGGUUACUUUGAGAAAAAUAGAGUGUUCAAAGCAGGCCACACGCCUUGAAUAAGUUAGCAUGGAAUAAUAACUAAGGACUUCGGUUCUAUUUUGUUGGUGUUCGGGACUGA